Molecule: ribosomal RNA, 617 nt
Filed under: uncultured Lachnospiraceae bacterium
Lineage: Bacteria; Bacillati; Bacillota; Clostridia; Lachnospirales; Lachnospiraceae
Description: bacterial SSU rRNA
Rfam family: Bacterial small subunit ribosomal RNA
Source: RNAcentral
AUGCAAGUCGAACGAAGCACCUUACCUGAUUCUUCGGAUGAAGGUCUGGUGACUGAGUGGCGGACGGGUGAGUAACGCGUGGGUAACCUGCCCUGUACAGGGGGAUAACAGUUGGAAACGGCUGCUAAUACCGCAUAAGCGCACGAGAGGACAUCCUCUUGUGUGAAAAACUCCGGUGGUACAGGAUGGGCCCGCGUCUGAUUAGCUGGUUGGCAGGGUAACGGCCUACCAAGGCGACGAUCAGUAGCCGGUCUGAGAGGAUGAACGGCCACAUUGGAACUGAGACACGGUCCAAACUCCUACGGGAGGCAGCAGUGGGGAAUAUUGCACAAUGGGGGAAACCCUGAUGCAGCAACGCCGCGUGAGUGAAGAAGUAUUUCGGUAUGUAAAGCUCUAUCAGCAGGGAAGAUAAUGACGGUACCUGAUAAGAAGCUCCGGCUAAAUACGUGCCAGCAGCCGCGGUAUACGUAUGGAGCAAGCGUUAUCCGGAUUUAUGGGUGUAAAGGGUGCGUAGGUGGCAGUGCAAGUCAGAUGUGAAAGGCCGGGGCUCAACCCCGGAGCUGCAUUUGACUGCAUAGUAGAGUACAGGAGAGGCAGGCGGAUUCUAGUGUAGCGGU